GACGAACGCUGGCGGCGUGCUUAACACAUGCAAGUCGAACGGAAAGGCCCUGCUUUUGCGGGGUGCUCGAGUGGCGAACGGGUGAGUAACACGCGAGUAACCUGCCCUUGACUUUGGGAUAACUUCAGGAAACUGGGGCUAAUACCGGAUAGGAGCUCCUGCUGCAUGGUGGGGGUUGGAAAGUUUCGGCGGUUGGGGAUGGAUUCGCUGCUUAUCAGCUUGUUGGUGGGGUAGUGGCUUACCAAGGCUUUGACGGGUAGCCGGCCUGAGAGCGUGACCGGCCACAAUAGGACUGAGAUACGGCGCAGACUCCUACGGGACGCAGCAGGGGAGAAUAUUGCGCAGCGGGCGGGAGCGUGAUGCAGCGGCGCCGCGUUCGGGAUGACGUGCUUCGGGGGAUAAACCACUUUGGCCUGUGACGAAGCGUGAGUGACGGUAAUUGGUAAGAAAGCACCAGCUAACUACGUG
This 468-nucleotide ribosomal RNA is filed under the name uncultured bacterium. RNAcentral's name for it is "partial 16S ribosomal RNA". It matches the Rfam family "Bacterial small subunit ribosomal RNA", at positions 28 to 507 of the family's 1533-position model. The record is from RNAcentral.